This is a long non-coding RNA of Argiope bruennichi, 349 nucleotides long. RefSeq lists it as uncharacterized. The record is from RefSeq and is a predicted model, not a curated record. The transcript has 3 exons. Lineage: Eukaryota; Metazoa; Arthropoda; Arachnida; Araneae; Araneidae.
UUUGUUGAACAUACAAUAACAAUAAGAUUUUUCUUGCACACCGAGAUAUUUCUGAACUAUAUAAGUGAGAAGUUUCUUGUUGGAGGUAUCAUCUGAUCGAAAGCAUUUAGUUCUUGCUGAGUUCCACUUUUCAGAACAACCUCCAAGAUGUCCGUCAUGAAAAGCGUUUUCUUGAUGCUCUCCAUCUCCGCCAUGAUGAGCAUGGCUUUCGCAAAUGUCUUUGACAAAAUUGAAGAUGGAUUGAACGACGCAAUCGACGCUACUGGAUUGUAAACCGCUUGUUUCUGAUGAGACGGAAGGAUGUAAUGUGAGGUUUGAAGCAGCAAUAAAAUUUGGCAUUUAAAAAGCU